AACUCUUAGCGGUGGAUCACUCAGCUCGUCAGUUGAUGAAGAAUGCAACUAGCUGAGAGAAUUAAAGUGAAUUGCAGGACACAUUGAUCACUGACACUUUGAACACACUUGCGGCACCAGGUUCCUCCUGGGCCUACGCCUGUCUGAGUGUUG
This is a ribosomal RNA of Chelonoidis abingdonii (Abingdon island giant tortoise), 153 nucleotides long. It matches the Rfam family "5.8S ribosomal RNA". From Rfam's summary of the family: 5.8S ribosomal RNA (5.8S rRNA) is a component of the large subunit of the eukaryotic ribosome. It is transcribed by RNA polymerase I as part of the 45S precursor that also contains 18S and 28S rRNA. Functionally, it is thought that 5.8S rRNA may be involved in ribosome translocation. Lineage: Eukaryota; Metazoa; Chordata; Testudines; Testudinidae. The record is from Ensembl.